AUCACGAUUCGCUGCAGAUAAUAAGGUAAGAAUUUUUUUCGCACCCCUAUGUAUUCCCGCAUAAUCGAAAACCGUAAAGCAAAUGGGCAAUAUUAUACUGGGAUUAUAACGUUAAUCGUUCCUGUUCGUAGCUUCACUUUAUCAUGUGUCCUUACUUUAAUGUAUUAGAAGAAAUUAUACAAAAUCAUUUCUAAAAGAUUCCAUUAAUGGUUGAAGAAAAAAAUUAGAUGGUGUCCAUAGCAGUGCGUCUCAGCUACAGAAGACGUACGUGUCUUCGCUGAAUGAGAAAUGGCUUCUGUAAACAAAAAGCCGUUCCUCCGGUUCCUCCACGGAAGACCCGAAUUCCUCGACUUGUAUUGGAAGUGGCUGCAUGGCUUCAAUGGCACGGAAUGCUCUGCUGGAAAUACCACCUUUUGGCAGUUGAAUUAGUAGGUAAGCUGUGAAUAUUUAUAUUAUUAUUGUGAUUAUUGUUUGAUUCUGUUUAAGGUUAGAAAAAAUGUUGCGAUAAUGGAAGAGGACCGAAAAAAACACUGUUACCUAACGGAAGGCACGAAUCCCACACCAGAAACCCUACCGGAGCAUAAGAAAACAGCGCUCCCGGAUUAUCUUUGUUACAAAAAAUCGUCAGAAUCCGAUGUCGCUGGAACAGGCAGACAUGCAGAAGGCCCAAGCCAAUCUGAAGCCAUGAAGAAGAGCUGUAUUUUCACAUCCGUUCGGCAUGUCCGGCUCGAAUGCCAAGCGGUUAUCUCGAUAUGGGGGGGUUCUGCUCGCCACCUAUCAGCACCCGAUCCGGUUUCAUCAAAUCCUCGCAGUUCCCUCAACGAAAAAUUUCGGAUUCGAUAAGAUGUCAUAUUUCACACCCGGUUUGUGGUUAGCUUUUAGAAUGUGCAUAUUUCUUUCGGACGCCUGGACCGUGACCGUACUUUUCUCGAAUACGAUUUUGCUGUUCUGAGACAUUUCGGCAAUCAUUCGGGCACAGUGCUCGGUGAAUUUGAGAUCAGCCACCUGGCCUCGUCCGUUGCCGUAGGUUUUUGUCAGGGUAUUGACCGAAAUGAAAAUGAGCUCCGCUUCCUGAAUGGCCGUUUCGAUGUAGGUCGAAAAGAACAGGUUCUAUUGCGGAACUUUGCUCGAUAUGUAUAUAUGCAAAAAGGCUGGAUUCCCCCGGUGAAUAUUAGAUUCCAUUUCAUCUACGACCACAGUACCGGAGAAACAAGAGUAAAAACAAAGGCGGAAACAGCAGAUCUUGAAUGCUGCUCAGUGUUCAGGUAAAGACAAAAAGGCCGGCGUUUCCGCCAUCAAAAAGAGCGACGAGGGAAGAUUCCAGUGAUCGUAUUUUGCCGGAUGUCUAGUGACAACUAAAACAUCAGUAAUUAUACCCAUACGUAUGCUAAACACAUCCUGAGGA
This is a long non-coding RNA of Uranotaenia lowii, 1405 nucleotides long. RefSeq lists it as uncharacterized. The record is from RefSeq and is a predicted model, not a curated record. The transcript has 3 exons. NCBI's taxonomy places the organism in Eukaryota, Metazoa, Arthropoda, Insecta, Diptera, Culicidae.